AGGUAGAUGGCGACACUGAAGCCUGCAAUGGAGGCAGGUGUUGCUUUCUUCUGAUCUCCUCAGAGAUGCUGUGUGAUCUGAUCUGAGUCAGGAGAGGAGUAGACAUUAUGUAAAUGACAGAGCGGAAGGAGGAUUGGCGUGAGAGAGGUCACUGGCAAGGACGCAGAGACUCACCAGCCCUUCUGCCCACAGUGAUCCUUUCUGUGACUGAACGUUGAUGAGUUCCAUCUUGUGCCGGCCUUGUGUGACAAUCACAGCUGCUGAGAGUUCAAGGGUGCAAUGGCAUGACCGUGUGUGUGCCUGGUGCAGUUCGUUGGCCGUGGCCAGACACGAGAAUCCCACGGACGUGGAAAU
This 354-nucleotide long non-coding RNA is filed under the name Mus musculus (house mouse). RNAcentral describes it as "predicted gene, 52988". The record is from RNAcentral. Lineage: Eukaryota; Metazoa; Chordata; Mammalia; Rodentia; Muridae.